CCGAAGUGUCACAGGAUGAAUCUAUGCUAUUUGGAGAGGGAGUAUACAUUUAACUUGAAGCAAUCCCUGGAAGAAAAAUUCUACUAGCAGAGAUGCUCUGAGCAGAGAGAAAGCCUGUCUAUAUAGUGAAAGAAUGAAACCAAUACAUUGAAAAAAACUGAGAAGAGAAAGAGGUAGAGACUUCAUCUGAUACAAGCAUGCUUGAAACAAGAGACACCUGUAUGAUUCCAUCUUCCCAGGAGCUAGCAGGCAGUUCUUGUUGAGUUCAAGCCAGUUGAGACCAUCAACCCUUCAACUGAGCCUGCAUGGCCCUGUUUUCAGGGAGGUGGAUUUGCGAUUUGUUCUCCUUCUCCUUGCUCAGCAGCCUGGUAAGCAAUCUCACAAAAUAAAAUCUUUUCUUUUUUGCAAA
This 409-nucleotide non-coding RNA is filed under the name Pan troglodytes (chimpanzee). RNAcentral also lists the same sequence under 1 other name. Lineage: Eukaryota; Metazoa; Chordata; Mammalia; Primates; Hominidae. The record is from RNAcentral.